UGAGGAAUAUUGGUCAAUGGGCGGAAGCCUGAACCAGCCAAGUAGCGUGCAGGAUGACGGCCCUAUGGGUUGUAAACUGCUUUUGAAGGGGAGUAAAGUGAGUGACUUGUCAUUCAUUGCAAGUACCCUUGGAAUAAGGACCGGCUAAUUCCGUGCCCG
This 159-nucleotide ribosomal RNA is filed under the name uncultured bacterium. RNAcentral describes it as "partial 16S rRNA". It matches the Rfam family "Bacterial small subunit ribosomal RNA", at positions 355 to 511 of the family's 1533-position model. The record is from RNAcentral.